Molecule: long non-coding RNA, 1401 nt
Filed under: Monodelphis domestica (gray short-tailed opossum)
Lineage: Eukaryota; Metazoa; Chordata; Mammalia; Didelphimorphia; Didelphidae
Description: lncRNA (ENSMODG00000039628.1)
Source: RNAcentral
AUGUAUGACUGUGUGGGCGCGCGCGCGCGCGCGCCCGUGUUGCGGGGGUUGAGAGUAAGUCAGCUUCCAGGCGAUCUGCUGUGUGGUGACUAUGCCUGCUCAAGCGAAACCCCCCUCUCUCUAGUGUUGCUUUGCUACAUAGCGCAGAUUUUCGUCUUUCUUUUGGCGCGCCCGUGCCUACUGGAACUAAAUACCAUAUCAAAGUAUAGUGGAAAGUGAACGGACUAAGCAGUCAUAGAGGUCUGGCAUAAGCAGGAUUCUAGGACUGACAGUGAGGAAGAGAGAAUGGACAUGGGUAAGGGUGGUUUUUGUUAUUUUGGACUAGAUGUGUGAAUUCAUCAUCAUCAAGAGCUCCUAUAAAAAACUCUUUCUAUCAGUGGAGGUCAGCACAUGCUCUACCAUUUACAGGGCUUAUAGGAAUUAAGUGACUUGAUUAGGAUCAAUGAUCCAGCUAUUAUGUGUCAGUGACAGACUUGAACUCAAGUCUUUCUAACUCUGGGGUAAAUACACCAUUUAUUAUAACAUGCUGUCACUCAGAAAGGUUAUUAGCAAGUGGCAAUUGACUCACCAUGAUAUCAAGUCUGCCAAGUUUCAUUUUGUAAAAAGCAUAAACUCAGGAGCUUGUCCUUUUGUUUACACUUGAGUAUUUGAUUAUGGUAUGGUUUUAGAUAGGUAUAACAUUCAAAAGAAAGAGAAUAAGUGAUGAGGAAAGGGUAACAUCAUCUAUUAAGGAUAUAUAAGGAAAUCCAACAACCAGAGGGAAAUAUAUGAUAGACAAUUUUGUGUGGACAUCAAAGGACAGAAAAUCCGAAGUGAUUCUUGGCUUUGAGAAUCCUAUACAUCACUUGGGGUGCAGGGAGAUGAAAUAGAAGAAGAAUGUAGAGAACAGACCCCAAGCCUGGCAGAGAAACAUGAUAUUAUAGUGAUGGAGAACUUCACUAUCCAUAUAUCUCUUGAAACUCUCUUUUUGACAAAAGCAAACUAAUAACUUCUUGAUUGAAGCAUAGCGCUGGGGGCACAGGUUGUUAUUUAGUCAUUUUUUUCAGUUUUGCAUGAUCAUGACUCUUUGGGGGAUAUUUUUAGCAGAGAUAUUGCAGGGGUUUGCCAUUUCUUUCUCCAGCUAAUUUUUAAAAUGAAGAAACAGGAUACAACAAGAUUAAAUGACUUACCUAAGAUCACAUAGCAACCAAGUGUCUGAGGCUGGAUUUGAAUUUAGAUUAUUCUGACUCUAGGUCUGGCACUCUAUCCACUGUGCCACCUAGCUACCCCAUAAUAAGUGGGCACAUAGUAUUUGUUUAAGAAAUACUGGUUCACUUGACUUAUCUGGUCUUAGUGAUAAUUUCAUCCUUUAAAAGGUGUAGGGACCAAUAAAAGGAAGUUCUAUCUUGAAUCUGAUUCUCA